CUCUCCCAAUGAUGCCCAUCAUUGUCAGUCUAGCCAAUGACGAUAGAGCAGUACGCCCCUGUCACUUGCUUUCCCCCACGUGGGGUCAAAACGUAUCCGAUUCAUUCUUCUCCUCUUUGCCCUCAUGGUAUUAGCGAAUCAGAACGCGAGACACUUGGAACUCCGCCUUGGGCGGUGUGGUAAUGGGGAACUGGGGUUGGAGUUUCUCAUAACGAGCGUUCGAACAGGGGAAACAUUUGUCCGGCUGUCAAUCAAAGUAACGUGGGGCUGAUGCUCGCUGCUAGUUUGUGGAUGAGACGCUGCUGCUCUGUGUGGCAAUCUGUGGUGAAAACAAGCAUGGAGGCAUGAGGAGGGAGAGCUUGUACUCUCUUACAUUACCGCACGGCCUCCUCCCUCCCUUUACUCCCUUGUCCUAUGUUAGCUAUCACCCACAUCAAGGAAUGCUGGCUAAUUAGGGGCCAAUGUCUCCUUAAAGAGACAAGAGCAGCCUUGUGCAGCUUUGCUAAGUGAAGGGAGGGAUGUGGAUGCACACAGCACUUCCCUUGGCUCAUACCAAUUUUACGCACCAGUGGAGCUGGCAUAAUUUUCUUGUGAAAAAGAGGGGGUGGAGGGAAAAGCUGUUCUAUGCUAUUUCCAGACGCUAUGUGCCUUUCGGAUGGCUGAGCCUUCCAUCCACAUGCAAAACGCAAUUCUGCGCCUCAUUGCGCUCCCCCGUAUGGCUAUGGUACAUUGGGCAGCGCUUUUUUGGGGGUGUUUAUACGAUUCGUAGCCCAUCACUCGGCUCCUUAUCACAUGGGAUGUAAUAAAGGAUGCUAACAAAUUAAUUCAUAUUUAAAUGACCCAAAAAAAAUGGAAAGCAAUGCAAGUUGUUGUUUUAUCAUGUUUUCUUUGUUUGCUUGAUGUAUCUGUGCUGCUUAUAAAGUGCUAAUAUACUUAUCAUUUUAAUGCACUGGUGCUCAGGCACCCUGUAUCUGCGAUUACAUAUAAAUGCCUAUGAACCUUUUAUGGUUGUAGGGUACAGCAGGUGUAAGUUAGGGCUCCUCUUUCCUUUCAUUAACCACAUAGGUUAAUUAGCUGUUAAUAUAAUAUACCUUUGUGUGUGUGAAUAUGAUACGGAUCUUAGACUGUAAGCUUUUCUGGGACAGGACCUCUAUAAAGCACUUUGGUAUAUGUUCGAUUAACAUAAAUAAAAGUUCAUGAUAAAUGCAGCUCGCUUGACUGCUCUGAUUGCAUUUGAAUGAAAUACAUCCCUCCUAACUGGAUUCUCUAGAAGUGUCCCCAGUAACUUUAGUGGCAGUGCCAUAGAAAGAAGCAUUUGUUGGGUGGUAGAGGGCAUACAAGUCUAGAGGGCUAGGCCAUGGCUGGCUUAGUAUGUUGCAGGGCACUACACACACUACACUGAGAAAAACAUGAGUUUCAACAGCUCUGUUUUAGUACAUAGUGCAAAUUGUUAGUUGUGUAUGUGCUCUCUGUCACUAAUUGCUCCUUUCUCUUUGUGCUGCAUAAAUAGUAUGGGGAUAGUGUGUCUGUGGGGGGUUGCAUAUAUGUGUGUAACCCCUUGAGCCCCCUAAGGUUAGGGGGCAGGUGUGAGUUGCUAUCUCAUAUUGACAAAUAGAUCUAUCAGUUCUAAUGUUGUGACCUUUUUUCACUAGGAGAAAAUGACUGCCUGUGCUAUCCAUCACAGAGCAAUGAUUUGUUACUCUGGAAACAUGGAUGUCAUUCCAUGAUAGAGCAAUGAAGUGGUUCCUGUUCAUACGCCAAAGCAGUGUAAAGUAAUACAAAUCCCAUUCAUUUGGAGGAGUAGCCCGUUGAUUAACAGACCCAUGGAGAAGCAUGCAAAGAAUUUUUGCAAAUGAAGCCUUGGUUGGAGGAGAGCUGACUUUUAACUACAUCAGAACCAGCACUACAGAAAGAGACAGAUACAAGCUGCUUUCAACAGACUGACUUGUUGGAAAGGGUUGCAGCACAUAGAGCAUAAACUACAUAGCCUGAUUUCAGCUGGCUGAAAAGCUUCGGGAACUGACUGCGCCUCUGAUUAAUCUGAAAUGUGGCAUGCAUGAUACCACUUUUUAGGCUCAAAAUGCUAUGGUUCUAAAACCCAAGACUCUUAUUUACAUAAAAUACUUAAUGGAUCAAAAAAGUUCUGUUUUUUUAAUUGUUAACACUUUCUUGCAUACAUAUCCAUCAUUUUCAAAAAUCAACUUUUCUUACCGAGUAGUUCCCUCAGCACUAAACAGGAAAUACAGUAAGCAAUGCCACAAAACUGCUGACAUGAUGCUUAGGUCUGACAAGUAUGCAAGGUUCCACUUGCUAACAGUUUGGUAAUAUAUGGUAAGGUUUCUUUACUGAGGGCCAAAUCAAAGUUACAAAAAUGUAAUUGAGACAGGAUAUAAUUCAUCACUGUCAGUUUUUCUUGCCCAGAAAGGCAAAAAUGGUUGUCAAGCUUGUAUGUACAACUGUAUAUUCCAUGAAACUAAAAUUUGUGAUUUUGUUGCCUUCCCCAGAAUGGGGGAUAACACUGCCAAUGCUCCAUUUGUGGGAGGUAUUAGAUGCAAAACUGCUGCAUUUUCCAUCCACUGUUUGCACCAGAUGGUUUAUUUAUACAGCUAGACACAUUUAUGCAAUGCUUUACAGACAUUGUUUAUAAUUCACAUUAGCCCCUGCCCCUGUGGACCAUACAACAUAAGGUCCCUAUGAGAGGCAUUCAACAUAGAAAAUCGUUGGUUACAUCAUGAGACAGUUAACCUGUGCAUAUGUUUUUGGAGCUGCCAGAUAUAGACACAGAGAGAACAUGCAAACUCAUAUAGUGUGCAGGUCACACAGACCACUAUUACCACAAGGUAGCAGGGUUAAACAUACAGGCAGGUUAAUUGGCUUCUGACUAAACUGACAAUAAUUUGUGUGAAUGUGACAUGUACCUUAGAUUGUAAGCUCCUCUGGGGCAGGGACUUAUGUAAAUGAUGAAAAACUUCUGUUAAAGGACAUGGAAAGGCAAUGUC
This is a long non-coding RNA of Xenopus tropicalis (tropical clawed frog), 2999 nucleotides long. RefSeq lists it as uncharacterized. Lineage: Eukaryota; Metazoa; Chordata; Amphibia; Anura; Pipidae. The transcript has 3 exons. The record is from RefSeq and is a predicted model, not a curated record.